GCGGCGAUAGUUCAGUGGUAGAGCCCCGCCUCGCGUGCGGGAGGCCCGGGUUCGAUUCCCGGCUGUUUCC
Molecule: transfer RNA, 70 nt
Filed under: Toxocara canis (dog roundworm)
Lineage: Eukaryota; Metazoa; Nematoda; Chromadorea; Rhabditida; Toxocaridae
Rfam family: tRNA
About the family: Transfer RNA (tRNA) molecules are approximately 80 nucleotides in length. Their secondary structure includes four short double-helical elements and three loops (D, anti-codon, and T loops). Further hydrogen bonds mediate the characteristic L-shaped molecular structure. tRNAs have two regions of fundamental functional importance: the anti-codon, which is responsible for specific mRNA codon recognition, and the 3' end, to which the tRNAs corresponding amino acid is attached (by aminoacyl-tRNA synthetases). tRNAs cope with the degeneracy of the genetic code in two manners: having more than one tRNA (with a specific anti-codon) for a particular amino acid; and 'wobble' base-pairing, i.e. permitting non-standard base-pairing at the 3rd anti-codon position.
Source: Rfam by way of RNAcentral